Molecule: ribosomal RNA, 467 nt
Filed under: uncultured bacterium
Lineage: Bacteria
Description: partial 16S ribosomal RNA
Rfam family: Bacterial small subunit ribosomal RNA
Source: RNAcentral
ACGAACGCUGGCGGCGUGCUUAACACAUGCAAGUCGAACGGAAAGGCCCUGCUUUUGUGGGGUGCUCGAGUGGCGAACGGGUGAGUAACACGUGAGUAACCUGCCCUUGACUUUGGGAUAACUUCAGGAAACUGGGGCUAAUACCGGAUAGGAGCUCCUGCUGCAUGGUGGGGGUUGGAAAGUUUCGGCGGUGGGGGAUGGACUCGCGGCUUAUCAGCUUGUUGGUGGGGUAGUGGCUUACCAAGGCUUUGACGGGUAGCCGGCCUGAGAGGGUGACCGGCCACAUUGGGACUGAGAUACGGCCCAGACUCCUACGGGAGGCAGCAGUGGGGAAUAUUGCACAAUGGGCGGAAGCCUGAUGCAGCAACGCCGCGUGCGGGAUGACGGCCUUCGGGUUGUAAACCGCUUUCGCCUGUGACGAAGCGUGAGUGACGGUAAUGGGUAAAGAAGCACCGGCUAACUACGUG